This 226-nucleotide unclassified non-coding RNA is filed under the name Hevea brasiliensis (rubber tree). The record is from RNAcentral. Lineage: Eukaryota; Viridiplantae; Streptophyta; Magnoliopsida; Malpighiales; Euphorbiaceae.
GAAUGGGGCCAACCCAAGUCUAAGAUCACUCAUCUUAUUUUCUGCACAACCUCUGGUGUCGACAUGCCUGGUUGCGACUACCAGCUCACCAAGCUCCUUGGCCUCCGUCCUUCUGUCAAGCGAUUCAUGAUGUAUCAGCAGGGCUGCUUUGCUGGUGGGACAGUCCUCCGUCUAGCCAAAGACUUGGCUGAGAACAAUAAGGGUGCCCGUGUUCUUGUUGUAUGCU